This 497-nucleotide ribosomal RNA is filed under the name uncultured bacterium. RNAcentral's name for it is "partial 16S ribosomal RNA". It matches the Rfam family "Bacterial small subunit ribosomal RNA", at positions 28 to 507 of the family's 1533-position model. The record is from RNAcentral.
GAUGAACGCUGGCGGCGUGCCUAAUACAUGCAAGUCGAGCGAACAGACCAGGAGCUUGCUCCUCUGACUUUAGCGGCCGACGGGUGAGUCACUCGUGGUUAACCUAACUAUACGACUGGGAUACCUUCGGGAAACCGUAGCUACUACCGGAUAAUUUAUUGAACCGCAUGGUUCACUCGUGAAAGUCGCUUUUUCUGUCACUUAUAGCUGGAUCCGCGCAGCAUUAGCUAGUUGGUAAGGUAACGGCUUAACAAGGCUACGAUGCUUAGCCGACCUGAGAGCGAGAUCGGCCAGACGGGAAGUGAGACUCAGCCGAGACUCUGGCGCGGGGCAGCGGUAGAGACUCUUACGGAAUGGACGAGAGCCUGACAGUGGAAAGCCGCGUGAGGGAUGAAGCACUAAUGAUCGGAAAACGCUGUUAGUAGGGAAGAACAAAAGUUUAAGUAACUAUGAUCAUCAUGACGGUACCGGGUGAGAAAGCCACGGCUAACUACGUG